AUUGAACGCUGGCGGAAUGCUUUACACAUGCAAGUCGAACGGCAGCACGGACUUCGGUCUGGUGGCGAGUGGCGAACGGGUGAGCAAUGUAUCGGAACGUGCCAGUCGUGGGGGAUAACGUAGUGAAAAUUACGCUAAUACCGCAUACGAUCUAUGGAUGAAAGCGGGGGAUCGCAAGACCUCGCGCGAUUGGAGCGGCCGAUAUCAGAUUAGGUAGUUGGUGGGGUAAAGGCCCACCAAGCCAACGAUCUGUAGCUGGUCUGAGUGGACGACCAGCCACACUGGAACUGAGACGCGGUCCAGACUCCUACGGGGGGCGGCAGUGGGGAAUUUUGGACAAUGAGCGAAAGCCUGAUCCAGCCAUUCCGCGUGCAGGAUGAAGGCCCUCGGGUUGUAAACUGCUUUUGUACAGAACGAAAAGGUUUCGACUAAUACUAGGAGCUCAUGACGGUACUGUAAGAAUAAGCACCGGCUAACUACGUGCCAGCCGCCGCCGUAA
This 499-nucleotide ribosomal RNA is filed under the name uncultured bacterium. RNAcentral's name for it is "partial 16S ribosomal RNA". It matches the Rfam family "Bacterial small subunit ribosomal RNA", at positions 30 to 523 of the family's 1533-position model. The record is from RNAcentral.